GAUGAACGCUGGCGGCGUGCCUAAUACAUGCAAGUCGAGCGAACGGCCGAGAAGCUUGCUUCUCUGAUGUUAGCGGCGGACGGGUGAGUAAGACGUGGAUAACCUACUUAUAAGACUGGGAUAACUUCGGGAAACCGGAGCUAAUACCGGAUAAUAUUUUGAACCGCAUGGUUCAAAAGUGAAAGACGGUAUUGCUGUCGUUUAUAGAUGGAUCCGCGCUGCAUUAGCUAGUUGGUAAGGUAACGGGUUACCAAGGCAACGAUGCAUAGCCGACCUGAGAGGGUAAUCGACCACACUGUAUCUGAGACACGCUCCCGACUCCUACGCGGAGCAGCAGUAGGGAAUCUUCCGCAAUGGGCGAAAGCCUGACGGUGCAACGCCGCGUGAGUGAUGAAGGUCUUCGGAUCGUAGAACUCUGUUAUUAGGAGAGAACAUAUGUGUAAGUAACUGUGCACAUCUUGACGGUACCUAAUCAGAAAGCCACGGCUAACUUCGUG
This 497-nucleotide ribosomal RNA is filed under the name uncultured bacterium. Its description in RNAcentral is "partial 16S ribosomal RNA". It matches the Rfam family "Bacterial small subunit ribosomal RNA", at positions 28 to 507 of the family's 1533-position model. The record is from RNAcentral.